GUUCUAAGAUGGGUCCUCUCUUCGUAGGCUAAUGCAUUGGCCCUUUUUUGACCCGUUUUGGGGCGAAAACAAAAACUGACUCCCGGGCAUAUUUUUUUCGGCCUUUAUGGGCAGAGAACUUUAGUACCGCUCAAAAUGAGGCCACCCAGUAGUUAGGUGUGAAUUUUCGAGACCUUUGGCAUCGUUCUAAGAUGGGUCCUCUCUUCGUAGGCUAAUGCAUUGGCCUUUUUUGACCCGUUUUGGGGCGAAAACAAAAACUGACUCCCGGGCAUAUUUUUUUCGGCCUUUAUGGGCAAAGAACUUUAGUACCGCUCAAAAUGAGGCCACCCAGUAGUUAGGUGUGAAUUUUCGAGACCUUUGGCACCGUUCUAAGAUGGGUCCUCUCUUCGUAGGCUAAUGCAUUGGCCCUUUUUGACCCGUUUUGGGGCGAAAACAAAAACUGACUCCCGGGCAUAUUUUUUUCGGCCUUUAUGGGCAAAGAACUUUAGUACCGCUCAAAAUGAGGCCACCCAGUAGUUAGGUGUGAAUUUUCGAGACCUUUGGCACCGUUCUAAGAUGGGUCCUCUCUUCGUAGGCUAAUGCAUUGGCCCUUUUUUGACCCGUUUUGGGGCGAAAACAAAAACUGACUCCCGGGCAUAUUUUUUUCGGCCUUUAUGGGCAAAGAACUUUAGUACCGCUCAAAAUGAGGCCACCCAGUAGUUAGGUGUGAAUUUUCGAGACCUUUGGCAUCGUUCUAAGAUGGGUCCUCUCUUCGUAGGCUAAUGCAUUGGCCCUUUUUUGACCCGUUUUGGGGCGAAAACAAAAACUGACUCCCGGGCAUAUUUUUUUCGGCCUUUAUGGGCAGAGAACUUUAGUACCGCUCAAAAUGAGGCCACCCAGUAGUUAGGUGUGAAUUUUCGAGACCUUUGGCAUCGUUCUAAGAUGGGUCCUCUCUUCGUAGGCUAAUGCAUUGGCCCUUUUUUGACCCGUUUUGGGGCGAAAACAAAAACUGACUCCCGGGCAUAUUUUUUUCGGCCUUUAUGGGCAGAGAACUUUAGUACCGCUCAAAAUGAGGCCACCCAGUAGUUAGGUGUGAAUUUUCGAGACCUUUGGCAUCGUUCUAAGAUGGGUCCUCUCUUCGUAGGCUAAUGCAUUGGCCCUUUUUUGACCCCUUUUUGGGGCGAAAACAAAAACUGACUCCCGAGCAUAUUUUUUUCGGCCUUUAUGGGCAAAGAACUUUAGUACCGCUCAAAAUGAGGCCACCCAGUAGUUAGGUGUGAAUUUUCGAGACCUUUGGCAUCGUUCUAAGAUGGGUCCUCUCUUCGUAGGCUAAUGCAUUGGCCCUUUUUUGACCCGUUUUGGGGCGAAAACAAAAACUGACUCCCGGGCAUAUUUUUUUCGGCCUUUAUGGGCAAAGAACUUUAGUACCGCUCAAAAUGAGGCCACCCAGUAGUUAGGUGUGAAUUUUCGAGACCUUUGGCAUCGUUCUAAGAUGGGUCCUCUCUUCGUAGGCUAAUGCAUUGGCCCUUUUUUGACCCGUUUUGGGGCGAAAACAAAAACUGACUCCCGGGCAUAUUUUUUUCGGCCUUUAUGGGCAAAGAACUUUAGUACCGCUCAAAAUGAGGCCACCCAGUAGUUAGGUGUGAAUUUUCGAGACCUUUGGCAUCGUUCUAAGAUGGGUCCUCUCUUCGUAGGCUAAUGCAUUGGCCCUUUUUUGACCCGUUUUGGGGCGAAAAACAAAAACUGACUCCCGGGCAUAUUUUUUUCGGCCUUUAUGGGCAAAGAACUUUAGUACCGCUCAAAAUGAGGCCACCCAGUAGUUAGGUGUGAAUUUUCGAGACCUUUUGGCAUCGUUCUAAGAUGGGUCCUCUCUUCGUAGGCUAAUGCAUUGGCCUUUUUUGACCCGUUUUGGGGCGAAAAACAAAAACUGACUCCCGGGCAUAUUUUUUUCGGCCUUUAUGGGCAAAGAACUUUAGUACCGCUCAAAAUGAGGCCACCCAGUAGUUAGGUGUGAAUUUUCGAGACCUUUGGCAUCGUUCUAAGAUGGGUCCUCUCUUCGUAGGCUAAUGCAUUGGCCCUUUUUUGACCCGUUUUGGGGCGAAAACAAAAACUGACUCCCGGGCAUAUUUUUUUCGGCCUUUAUGGGCAGAGAACUUUAGUACCGCUCAAAAUGAGGCCACCCAGUAGUUAGGUGUGAAUUUUCGAGACCUUUGGCAUCGUUCUAAGAUGGGUCCUCUCUUCGUAGGCUAAUGCAUUGGCCCUUUUUUGACCCGUUUUGGGGCGAAAACAAAAACUGACUCCCGGGCAUAUUUUUUUCGGCCUUUAUGGGCAAAGAACUUUAGUACCGCUCAAAAUGAGGCCACCCAGUAGUUAGGUGUGAAUUUUCGAGACCUUUGGCAUCGUUCUAAGAUGGGUCCUCUCUUCGUAGGCUAAUGCAUUGGCCCUUUUUGACCCGUUUUGGGGCGAAAACAAAAACUGACUCCCCCGGGCAUAUAUUUUUUCGGCCUUUAUGGGCAAAGAACUUUAGUACCGCUCAAAAUGAGGCCACCCAGUAGUUAGGUGUGAAUUUUCGAGACCUUUGGCAUCGUUCUAAGAUGGGUCCUCUCUUCGUAGGCUAAUGCAUUGGCCCUUUUUUGACCCGUUUUGGGGCGAAAACAAAAACUGACUCCCGGGCAUAUAUUUU
This 2662-nucleotide long non-coding RNA is filed under the name Cucumis sativus (cucumber). RNAcentral's name for it is "long non-coding RNA (CSAT_LNC001488)". Lineage: Eukaryota; Viridiplantae; Streptophyta; Magnoliopsida; Cucurbitales; Cucurbitaceae. The record is from RNAcentral.